RNAcentral lists this ribosomal RNA (466 nucleotides) under uncultured bacterium. Its description in RNAcentral is "partial 16S ribosomal RNA". It matches the Rfam family "Bacterial small subunit ribosomal RNA", at positions 28 to 507 of the family's 1533-position model. The record is from RNAcentral.
GACGAACGCUGGCGGCGUGCUUAACACAUGCAAGUCGUGCGGUAAGGCCCUUUCGGGGGUACACGCGCGGCGAACGGGUGAGUAACACGUGAGCAACCUUCCCUUCCCUUUGGGAUAACUGCCGGAAACGGUGGCUAAUACCGGAUAUUACUUCCUCACGCAUGUUGGGUGGUGGAAAGCCUUCGGGUGGUGGGGGAUGGGCUCGCGGUCUAUCAGCUUGUUGGUGGGGGGGUGGCCUACCAAGGCUUCGGCGGGUAGCCGGCCUGAGAGGGUGACCGGCACACGUGGGACUGAGACACGGCCCAGACUCCUACGGGAGGCAGCAGUGGGGAAUAUUGGACAAUGGGCGAAAGCCUGAUGCAGCAACGCCGCGUGAGGGAUGACGGCCUUCGGGUUGUAAACCUCUUUCGCCUGCGACGAAGCGCGAGUGACGGUAGCAGGUAAAGAAGCACCGGCCAACUACGUG